GUAUCCAAUGGUUUUGCAUUUGGAGUUUGCAAUUUGGGCAACUUGGCAAAUGAGGGAGCAAACUUGACAAAAAUGCCAAGUUGUGGAUGGCUUUGCAAACCCAAUCGCGCGAGCAAAGUCACGCGUGAGGAAAGCGCGCGCGCCUGGAAACCUUCUAUUUUUAUCAUUUCCCAAGUCCAAAUACCAAUUCUCUAGGAGAUGACCUAUUUUUAUCCUUUGCAUUUUGUUAUGGGAGUUUGCAAAUAACAACAAAUGCAAAGUCAAUUUGCCAAAGCCUUUGGAGAUGCUCUAAAGUUCUGGUAUGUUUUACGACUAAAUAUAUUGUGUCUUAUAAAGGAAGAAAGCUCUAUCUAUCUAUCUAGAACAAAAACCCUAUCAAGGAUGUGUUUUAAUUUGACAUAGAAUUAUUAGGAUGAUAUUAUAUUGUUGCCAAUGUUAAUUUAUAAUAUGAACGCCAUGAUCAACAUAAAUAAAUUAUAACUUUUCAAUUUUAUUAAAAAAAUAAAAAAAUAAAAUAUACAUGUAACAUUAUUGUUUUCAUUUAACAUUAACGUGCCAAUUCAUUUGUGGUCAUUGUGCAGCUGAAGCUCUAAGAACCACUAAUAACUAUAAAAAUUAAGUCCCUCGGUUGUGCACUAAACUGAAGCCAACAAAUCUCUACAACUAAAAAUUAUAAAGAUGACCUAUCUACCAUACCUAUGAUGACACGCUAUUCCAUCAACGCAGGCCCCACUCACCCACACAUGCAAAAAACAUUUUUAAGAAAUUAGAAAAAAAUCAUAACUCCUAAACCGGAGAUCUAAAUUAAAUUCUGAUUGCACCAUUAAAUUUCUUAUAAUAAUCCUUCAAAACAAGAUCACAUAUGGAUAUAUUUAGAUAAAAUUUUAUCAAUGAAUAUUUAUCUUAUAAAGAUCUCUACGAGUAAAAAUUACGAAGAGGACCCGUCUACCAUACCUGUGGUGAAGCCGCGACUCCCGUCCUCAGCACGUAUGGAUGACACAGAGCCCACUCACCCACGCAUGAAAAAACAUUUUUAAAAAAUUAAAAAAAAUCAUAACUCCUAAACCGGAUAUUUAUAUUAAAUUUCCGAUUGCACCAUUAAAUUUUUUAUAAUAAAUUCUUUGAAACUACAUCACACAUGGAUAUACUUAGCUAAAAUUAUAUUAAUAAAUAUUUAUUUUAUAAAGAUAAAAUAUUUUCUUUUAGUAAGCAGAGACAAUGUUCUAGGUUUAACAAAGAAUGUUCUGUCUUUGUAAGAAAAUUGUUAUCGAUUUAAAAAAAUAGUAUUUUGGUUUUAGGUUUAUGAAACUGAUAUUACAAUAUAUAUAAAAAUAAAUAAAUAUAUAACAUAGAUAAAAUAAUAAAAAAAAUAUAGAGCAAAAAACUUAAGGAAACAAAUAAAACACAUAUCUCUUCUCUAUAACUAAAAAUUACGAAGAGGACCUGUCUAACGCACUCAUGGUGAAGCCGCGACCCAUCCUCGUCGGUGGUCUUUUUUACUCCACACAUCCUAUCUCAGCACCGUAGGCAAAGAGCACAAAAGGUCACAACAUGCAUGGAUGACACGCUAUCCCAUCAACGCAGGCCCACUCACCUAUGCAUGCAAAAAUAUUUAUAAGGAAUUAAAAAAGUCAUAACUCCUAAACUGGAGAUCUAAAUUAAAUUCUGAUUGCACCAUUAAAUUUAUUAUAAUAAAUUCUUCAAAACAAGAUCACACAUGGAUAUAUUAAGAUAAAUUUUAUUAAUAAAUAUUUAUCUUAUAAAGAUAAAAUAUUUUCUUUUAUUAAGGAAAGACAAUGUUCUAGGUUCAAUAGACAACGUUCCGUCUUUAUAAGAAAAAUAUUAUUGAUUUACAACAAUAGUAUUUUGGUUUUAGGUUUAUAAAAUUGAUAUUACAAUAUACAUUAAAAUAAAUACAUGACAUAGAUAAAAAAAGAAUAAUAAAAUCUAGAGCAACAAGCAUAAGGAAAAAAAUAAAACACAUAAUGGAGAAAAAAUUUGAAGAAUAUGAAAGGGUUAAUUUUCAAAAAUCGUAAAUAUAUUUAUAGAACAUUAACAUCACUAAAUAUAUCAUAGAACAUCAUUAAAUACAUUAUAGAACAUCACAUAUAUAAGAUAUGAACGUUAUUAAAUACGUUAUAGAACAUCAUAUGUAUAUUGAGUGAACAUCACAUAAAACAUCAUAAAAUAUCGCUAAAUACAUUAUAAAACAUUACAUAAACAUCACUAAGUAGAACAUCGAACAUCACAUGUAUGCUAAGGAAACAUCACUAAAUACGUUGUAGAACAUCACAUGUAUACUAAGUGAACACCAUAAGAAAUAUCAUAGAACAUCACAUGUAUUCUACAUGAACAUGACAGAACACAAUAUAGAACACUAAAUGUAUACUAUGUAAACAUCAUAUAUAUAUAUAUAUAUAUAUAUAUAUAGAAAAUAGAAAAUAAUAAAUUUAUUAAAACUUUAAUCAGAGUAAAACAACAAAUAAGGAAAAUAUAAAUUUGUCUUGUGCUCAGGAUGCCCAAAGACUACGGAAGAAAUUUGUGAUCGAACUAUUAGCGUGUGAUGAGAAUUGACAGUGUUGCAGGAUUCCUCUAUUCGUAUAAGAAUAUCUUAGCCGCAUCACGGGCAUAAGACAAUGGAAGAGAUAGUUGUGAAGGACUUAUCUUUCAUGCACUUAUUUUGACAUUGUUAAUAAACUUAACGCUUAUUAUUUGAAUGUGGCUCCAAACAUUAUGUUGCUAAGCCAAGUUAAAAUUUAUUUGUCUUCAUUUUGAUCCACUACUUUUUGAUACUCUUACCGCGUUGAAAAUUUGAGCUCAUAACAUGCUUUUUUUUAUUGUGUGUAAUGAUAUUGAAAAUUUUAAGAUUCCCGUAGCAACACACGGGUAUUUACCUAGUUGAGCACUUAGUAGUAUUUCUCCCGUUGCAAUGCACGGAUAUAUUUGCUAGUAUAAAUUAUUUUCGAAACUAAAAACACUUUCAAAUUUAUUAAGCCUAAUUAGUGCAUAAUUAAUACUAGUUAAUUCAUGGUUGCUAUAGUAAAAAUGUGCUAAUGAUAGAUUAGUUAGACUUAGGCCCUGUUUGGUUUCACCAACUAAAUUUUAGUUAGCUAAAAUUAUUUUAGCUACUCUUGGGUGACUAAUGGAACUAAACUAUUUUAGCCCCUUUUAGUCAAUAUGUUUGGAACUUUAGCUACUAAAGUGACUAAAGUUUAGCUAGCUAAAAUUUAGUUGGUGGAACCAAACAGGGCCUUAAUAAAUUCGUCUCGUAGAAUACUAACGGAAUCGACAAUUUAUUUUUUAUCAGUAUCUAAACAUUUUAUGGCCACCCCAUAUGAUAUCCGAUGUGACACCUACUAAACUUAGUACCUAAAUUUAAACACCCCUUAAGUAUAUUGUAAGCCAAACUAUGCUAAGUCUUACUAAAUUUUAACAUAAUUUCAUGGAAUUUAAGGAGAAGAGUAUUAACACCUACCAGGUCAUACGGGAAUAUUAUAAUUGAAACUUGGGACAGAAGGUGUAUAUCAGCUAAACAGUGUGUGAGGACUGAAGACACCAAAUUUCGGGGGCAUCCUAAGCAUAUAAGAGAAUCUCCAACCAUUUGGCAAAAUUUAUUUUUUAAAUCUUAUUAUUGGUAAACUUCUAAAAUAAUAUAGAAAGGAAAAAAAGAUCUCAACUUCAACAGUUUCACAAAUUUCAUUUCAAAAACAAAAAACCCAUUAACCAAACGAAGAGCCCCACUAAGCAUGGGAAGAAAGACUGAUGCUAAUCAUGAAUUUCGCGCGCAUAUUUGCGCGCUAGACAAGGAGAUAUGCCAAGUUAGAAAUUGGGAAUUAGGAUAGAAAACUGUUGGAAUUUUUUCUUUAUUUUGCUAAAAAAUUAUAAAUAUAAAAUCAUUUGCUAAAGUGUUGAAGAUGCUUUUAACUUCCUUCUCUAUUGAUUUGUACUGAUGUAGGUUGCGUCAAUCAAAAUGUAAACACAAGCAUGUUACAUCCGCGCGGGGUGGGAAUCUCUUUGAGCCCUUGCAAGGCCUUGUUUACUUCCAAAAAGUUUUGCAAAAUACACAUGGUAACACUUUUGUUUGUAUGUUGAUAAAUAUUGUGCAGUCAUAAAUUAAUUAGGCUCAAAAGAUUCAUCUCGCAAAUUGCAGGUAACUGUAUAAUUAGUUAUUUGUUUUAUUUAUAUUUAAUGUUCUAUACAUAUGCUGCAAAAUUUGAUGUGAUGAAAAAUUUAAAAGAAUUUGCAAAAUUGUUUAGAAAAAGCCUGAAACUGGACACCGCUGUAUGGCGCCGCGUUCCGCCUCAGUCAACUCCCCACGUCUUGUUUGAGUUCCCACGUUAGGCCUACUUUGGCAACUCGGGGUUACUAGCCCAGGAAACAAAACAUAGGGGGAGGGAUUUUUUUUGACAUGUAGAUCCCCCUGUUGGGAUUCCAUGUGGGGGAUUAUUUCACUGCUGCUGUUUGGAAGCAGUUGCAGGGGGAGUUGGAUGCAUGCAUGCACGGUCAGCUCGAGCAGCUCCAGCAAGCAUGCAUGCACGGAUCAGUCUUUCAUCAUGACUUGUGAUUCUCUGCUGCACAUCUACAAUGUCUAGGAUUCCAGGAACAAGUCUUGACUUAUUUGAUAACUUCACUAUAGAUAUAGUAGUAUAGAAGCGUCUUAAAAAAUAAGAAAAUUCAAAAAAAAAAUAACAAACUCGUUACAUAUCAAUGCUAGCAUCUCACAGUGAUAGAAAAAUCUCAGGAAUAAGUAUGUUUACAUAAAAUAUAUAGGUGUUUCAAACUAAAAUCAAGUCUUUGCACAACUACAUAGAAGCAAAAAAUGUCAACGAUCAUUACAAAAUUUGACCAAACUUCACUUGUCUCAAACAUGCAUUUGUUCCACCAAAACCUCUGCAAAUAACAUAACAAAAAUAGUGAGCCCUUGUAACAGAUUUUUUCCCAACAAGUUUGUAUAUGAAUGCAUCAUAUAGAAUAAAGUUACAGCAAGCUAACACAUGCAAAUGCAGUUUAGUUCAGACUAACCAGUGGAGGCUUUUCUUUUCUUGUACAUACACAAGCAUGGAGUCUAAUGAAAAAUUACCUAGUGGCUACACCCAUCAACCGAGUUCCAAUUUAUUCAAUAUUUAGACUUAAAAAAGGAGAUCCUGGCAAGUAGGACAAUCAUGUGUUCUCAGAGACAAACCGUAUUUAACAAAUGUAUAGUACACAUUAAUUAAGCAUUAAAACCGGCUAACUAGCGCUAGAAUUUUUUUAUUGGAUUCCUAAACUAACUAGUACUGAGUAGUUCUGCAGGUCAAAAGCAUGCUGAGUCUGAGAAUGCAGUGGACAAAUCAUUUAGCACUAAAUAAAUAAAGAUGGAAAUUCAUUUCCUGUACAAUUGUAUAAGUACAAGUCCAAAGUACAAUUCAUAUUUUUGUGCUCUGCUUCUAAAGUACAAGUCCACAAGAGUAACAAAUUUUAAAUCAUUAGAAACACAUCAGGUAUUGUCAAAUUCUAUUCCAAAGAAUCAAUAUAAUUAACAACAUACAAUUUCAUAAAAUUUAACGUGGAGGGGUUAUAUUCUGUACCAGGUGCACAAAAUAGCAUGAAAGACAAUGAGGACUGAGGACUGAGGACCGGGAGAUGGCAGCCUGGCCUGGUGAAGUUAGACUAAGAUGUCAACUACCUGCAGAAGAUGGCGAUUAGAAAAAGCAAGUGUUACAAAUUAAAGAAAUCAAAGCAUGUGAACUUUAGAUAUACAGUAAGCAGUAUGCUACUAUUUACUACUUAAUCAAUGACCAAAUAGCUCGGAUUGCUUUAAUUAGAACGAUAAUGCAUACAUAAAGGACAAGAGUGUAAAGGCGAGGUCAUUUAUUUGUCAUUCGAGCAUAUCCUAACUCCAAGAACAAAUACUUUAUGGAUAGCUCAGACUCAGAGCCUUAGGUACAGAAGGGACUAUGGUACGUAUCAACUUACUGAUAUCCACUGAAGAACAACUGAAAAAAAUGCGAUGCAUGCACUUUAACUCUUUGAAACCAAAUGAAUAAAUACAUUGCACCAAAAACUCACAGUCCAACAGCUUACUGAUAUCCACUGAAGAAGAAAAGUUAAAGUGUAACCUUCUUUAUGGGCAUAUAACGGGGCAAAAAAUGCAGAUUGACAUAUAUGGAAAAAAGUUAAAGUUACUGAUAUAGGGGGCAAAAAAGUUAAAGUUACUAAUAUAGGAGGCAAAAAAGUUAAAGUUACUGAUAUAGGUGGCAAAAAAUGUAGAUUGACAUAUAUGAGCAUGUGCAGACAAGGGUAACAUACAUGUCACAUUAAGCCAACCAUGGGAAUCACAAGCUGUGAAGUCUCACAGCCCAGAGCCAGGUACCACCUGACUACAAACUAAAGGUAACAUGCAAUUCGACUCUUCUUUAACCCUACUAUACUGUAAAAAAAUAUAUACACAAUUAUAGUAGUGGAGCAGUGCGCAUCACAUUCGCCUACAAUUGUUUACAACAAAAAAGAAGAAGGAAAGAACAGAGCUCAGCUAAGCGACUCUUCCAAUCCACCAAGAACAGAAAGAAAUCUGCUUAAUUUACUAUACACUAUACAAUAGCCCAUCAUACUUGCUCCAUGGAAAUCGAUAAACUAAUUCAACAGAACACGCUUAUAAAUUCUCUAAUACUAUCACCAUGGCACAGAGUAGGGUAUUUUCCUACAUGAAAUCUCUUUUUUAAAAAAACUCCAAACUUUGAACAUGCUAACUGAAUCUCAGACUUCGGAAACAGCUUAAGUGUUAUUUUCAGAUUAAAGUCAAACAACAGCUUAAGUGUUAUUUUGAUGUCUUUUCAUAGCUAAGAAACAUACGGUUCCAUGCAAUUCUACUACUUAAAUAUGGUACGGUACACUAGCUGUACAACACAAAGUGUUAGCGCUAGAGCUGGGACUGGGAAUGUUCAUCACAUUGUGCAUCGUGGUGGCUCAAAUGCUACAAGCUACAGGCUCAAGUACAAAGAUACAUUGUACCAUUGUUUUCUACUAGUGGUGGCUCAAAUAGAGGCUUACUAGUAUGUUUCAGACAUGAAAAAAUUUGGGAGUACUGACCAGAUGGGGUAGACAUGGAAACACUAACGUUACUUUUAGAGCUUGUUCUUAUCUCUUAAUCCAUGGAAUUACAACGAGUAAAUGCUGCUAACAGUGAGGGAACCAUACAAACCUAAAAAUAUACAAAUUUCACCAGAUCUUAUCACAACAAGGAGGAAUACCAGAACAAGGAGGAGAGAGAGGAAGGACUCACCAGAUCUUGAAACGAGGCAAGCGGCCAAGCAGGAGAUCACCGGAUCUAGGAGGAACAACAUGUGAGAAGAGAGGUCAAGAAACCCAAAACCCUAGCAUAAGGCACAAAGAUGUAGAACAGCCUGUGAGAAGAGGCAGGCUCACUGUUGGCAUGACCAAGCCUCACCGGAUCGAUGAGAAGGCGGAGGACACGGAAGCCGGGAUGGAGGACACGGGGUACCGGGGCGGAGGCGAUGGGAUGCGGGGGCGGCGUCGAUGGGAUGUCGGGGCAGAGGCGACGCCGCGACGGGAUGCCCGAGCGAAGAGCUGCUCGACGUGAUGCGGCGCUCCUUCGCCGUCUCGAUCUGGACGUUGUCCGACGACGGCGCACCUGGGAGAGCGGUGGCGGCCUCGCCACUGGGCGGCGCUGCGAGCGAGGAAGAAGGAAGCCUCGCGGCUCGCGAGCGCACGGGGAGUCGGGGAUACACUCCCGGCCGAAUGCGUCGUGGAUUUGUUCCUCGAGGAAAGAACAGGAAAGCGGGCUGCCAUCCUCUACUUCGUGGGCUGCCAAAGGGUGCACAGAUUUGGCCCGGGGGAGGCUGGCACGGGCCGGAUUGGCCCAUGGAAAAGGCCGGGAUCCCCCCGGGAAACUGGGCUGCCAAAGAAGGCCCAGUUUCCGAUAGACUGUGUUUGGCAUGAUAUUGAUGGCGGCCCCACCGUCAACAAGUAUCUUGGUCAUCGGCUGCCCAUCAACCCUUCCUUUGAUAAACAAAGCUUUAAGAUGCUGCCUUUCAUUAUCAGCAGGCUUUUCGAAGAUGGCUGUCAUUGGGUCCAGAGCCAACUGAGCUAUUUGGUCGGAAAAAUCCAGCUCCUCAUCAUCACAGGAUGGCGCAAGAAACUUCAUCGGCAACAUAAAUACCAUGUUAACAUCUGCCGAUGGCCCUUUCCCCUUAGGAUCCGGUCGCUGCUGAUCUCCAGAUUGGCCAGAAUUCUCGCCUUUGUUUAGCUCUUCUUGUCUUUCGCGCCGCAGCCUCCUUUUCUGUGUCCUAGUCAACCCCUCUGGACACCAUGGAGGAAGUUGUGGUUGCCUUGCCGAUGGGCGACAAUUUUCCCUUGACUCCACUCAAUAGGUAUUGGCAUCCCUACAAAAUAUGAACUCAUCGAGAACACGAGCAUUUGCCAUCUCUUCAAGCUCCUCUUGGUUCCUGGGAAAGUAUCCAACACGGUCACUGAGUCUAUCAUGCACACGGAGCCUGCCCCCAGCCGAUCAUGAACUGAAGUUCUCCCCCUAAUCGGCCUAUUAAAACGUCGAUCAUCAUUCUAAUACUGCCGAUUAGGUCUGUCAUACCGAUCAUAACCAUUGCACUCAGGGCAGUCCCUAACAGUGGGCAAUUUGAUGUUCUGUUCCCAGCAAUGGAUAAGUAAUGGGUAGUUCCAGUGAUCCUUGUGCCGAUUCCACUCCUGUCGGCGUCUUUCUUCUUCCCGACGAUAAUCCACCUGCUGGCGCCGAUACCGAUCUUCACGUUGCUGCCUAGUCUCCCGAUGCCUUCUAUAAGUUAUCACAAUGCUAGAUCAGGGAGGUCUUCCUGAGCUAUUUCCUUCCUGUAACAAACCCUUUCCUUUAGCAUCGGCAACACUAAUCUGAUGCUGAGGAUCCACCGAUGCACUUCUUUCAGCUGCUUCUGACGUCAAGACCUUGGUCUUCCCUUAGCAUCCAACAUAUUUGUUGGGAAAGGAUGUUGAUCGAUCUUCAUCGGCUUCUGAGCUUUGGAAUUAUCAAACUUGAUUCUCCCAGAUUCUAUAGCCGAUUGCAGCUGUUGCCUAAAAACCUUGCACUCAUUGGUGCUGUGAGAGGUUGCAUUGUGCCACUUGCAGUAUUUCAUCUUCUUUAAUUCUUCAGCCGAUGGAAUCAUAUGAUUAGGUGACAAUUUGAUUUGCCCUUCCUGAAGUAGAAAGUCAAAUAUCCUAUCGGUCUUGGUAAUGUCAAAGGCAAACUUCUCUGGCUCCUUAUGCCCAAAAGGGCAAGACAUCGGCUUUUUGUUCUUCACCCACUCUGCUAAACCGAUGACUGGCUCCUCAUCAGAAUCUGAGAUUGCUGCCUCAUCAACAAAUGACACCUUUUUAUUCCAUGCUCUCGUGGGCUCAAAGGUUUUGAUAUCCUGGUCGAAAAUCCUCUACACCAAGUGACUUAGACUCUCGAACUCUUUAGAAGGAUACUUGUCUCUGAUGUGUGGCAACAAACCCUAGAAAGCCAAAUCGGCUAGCUGCCGAUCAUCUAGAACCAGGCUAUAACAUUUAUUCUUGACUUCCCGCAACCUCUGCACAAAGCUUUCAACCGAUUCAUCAUUGCGCUGCUUCAAUCUGACUAAAUCGGUGAUCUUCUUUCCAUGGACUCUAGAAAAGAAAUAUUUGUGGAAUUGCUUCUCUAGAUUGGCCCAAGUAAUUACUGAAUUGGGAGGUAACAGCCGAUCCAGACAAAGAUGAUGAAAACAGACGAACCCUCAAUUCAUCUCUGUUAGCAGCUUCCCCACAUUGAAUGAUGAACCUGUUGACAUGCUCCAUAGUCGAUGUAUCAUCCUGUCCAGAAAACUUAGUGAAAUCUAGUACCUUGUACCGAUUUGGAAGUGGAAUUGAAUCGUAUGCAGGAGGAUACGGUGUCCGAUAAGAGUAAGUGUUGACUUUGGGCUUUAUCCCAAAUUGGUCUCUCAUUACUUCAGCUAUCUUAUCGGCCCAAUAAGCAUCGGCGUCUUGCCGAUGAGGCGGUUGUGGAUCUGGCACCUGUUGAUAUGCUUCCACGUGUCUCUGAGGUGCACGAUCCGCAUGGAACAUUGGGUUAACCAUCUGACCACCAAUCUGCUGACCGAGAUUCAUCAGCUGGUUGGCCAACCCUUGAUUCUGAAACCCGGGUUGAAUUUGGCCUUGUUGAAACCCUAGAGCCUGAUGAUUCUGCCGAGGCAUCUAUGGAAAGACUAACUGUCCCGUCCAUCCAUUGUUAGCAUUCAUCGGCAUAAACCCUGCCGAUGGUUGGAAAUUGGGCAUCAUCAUUGAAUUGACAUGUCCUGGCUGUGUCAUAAACCUAUGCUACGUCGGCAUUGAAUCUGCCGAUGCGUUAGGCAUCUGGAACGUUGGAGCUUGAGAAUUCCCAGUGUAAGGCCUUGCAAUAGUAGUUGUAGUACACUGGGGACUCUGAUUCAAACAUUGCUGCUUGUAGUCCUCCAUGGCUUUUGCAAUAGCUUGCUUCUACUCAUCUCUGAGAUUAGCUUCCGUCACGGGGAUGAUGUUCUCCAAGUCGAACUCGGUAUUUGCCAUGUUGAUCUUGAUCUUGAAUCUGUCCCACCAGGCGUGCCAAAAGAUGUGUUGGUGCAAAACUGAUCUGCAAACACAAAGGGCUACUACCCGAUUCAAACGUUAAGGCGUGCUAGCCGAUUUGACCUUACAAUCGACAAAGGUGGUAACUCGACCACUCUGGUCCUGACAACAGCGAUGCGCCCAGAUGUCACGGCCAAGAGAUGAUCACGCGGAACUUGAGAACACACCGAGCUUAAGUCGACGAAUUCCUAAGAACUCAUAGUAAAAAGAAAAUAUGACGAAGUCGUCGAAAAAGUAGAUGCUGGAAUAUGAGUAAAAACUUGUGUUUGUGUGAUUGAUUGCUUCUCAUUACAUUGCUCUAGGGUCUACAUUUAUACCCUAUCCGAAGAGCUACAACCAGAAACGACUAGGACUCAAAUUCCAAACUAAACGGAACCCGUACACAAAACAAAUUCUAAUAACUAAGGAAAACAUAAAAACUACCCCCUUGUAGCCGACUGGGGCACCGCAACAGAUCAAUCAGCAACCUCCACGCUUUCCUUUAGAGCCAUCGGCAGAUCUCCUGUUGUGGCCAUCGGCAUUUAUACUAGUCAUUGGCACGAACACGUCACCACCUCUGGACUUAGUCACACUCAGUUGUUUCCUCAUCGGCAACCACCUUCAUCGGCAACUUCCAUGUAGACUAGUUACCGUUGCUUCAUCUGCCGAUCUAUACUUUACUAUCCCUAGAUACGCGUCAAAAGAUACGUGUCCAAAAACGGUGUCAACACUUCUCAUCCUUGGAGCGCUUCUGCUCCUUGUUCUUGGCCUGGUUCUUGGCCCGGAGCUCUUUGUCUUCUGGGACUAGGGGCAGGGUGUACCUGACGACGCCCAUCCCCUACGGGUAAAUGGCAACCCAAGUAAGGGCUAGUGUGAGGAAAAAGAUGAUGAAGUAGGAAUGAAGACGGAAAUGCCUUACCAGGGAGAUGUAGUCCCUGUCGGGACGCAUCGGGACCACCCGAUAGUUCUUCAAUUUUGAGGAUAUUCUCCUCGAGACCCGGGUGUUGGUCUCUGAGGCGGGCACCGGCGCCUCCAGCAUCCGCGUCCCCACGGCACGAGCGGUGGGGUUCAUCUCCCACAUGGUCAGCACUCGCUGCGCCAACGGCAGGAGACUUCGUUUGUGGAAGGCGACCGCCACCGUGGCUGCAGUGACGCAUGCGUGCCGAAGCUUCUCAAGGCCCACGAGGAGGGUGUCCAACCUCUUUUGCUCCCCUGCAGGAGCACCCCACCCCCACUUUGUGGGGCACUCGAGCACCAUCUUCCUGGUGUACUCCGAGAGAAGGCUGUGGUCAUUUCGGAGGUAGAACCAUACGUUGUGCCACUCCCGGUUCGAUCACGGCAAGAUGCUCAGAUGUACAAGUGGGAGCGCGACUCCCGGAGUUGAAGCAUGCAGCCGCCGGCCCUCAAGGGCCUCUUCUCCCCGCCCUCGUUGCGGGAAGACUUCUCCGCCUUGAACAGGUGGAGCUAGAGGUAUCAAUGGGGAGUAAUCCCCAGGUACCCCUCGCACACCGUGGCGAAGACGGCCUCCUGCAUGAUGGAGUUCGGGUUGAAGUUGUGUAGCUCUACUUCAUAGUAGUGCACAAGAGCCCGCAUGAAUCGGCCGGCCGGGAUCUCGAACCCCUAGUCUAGGAAGGAUAGGAAGCAAACCACAUAGCCCGGAGGUGGGUUUGGCUCCCUAUCGUUCGCUGGAGGCACGAUCCACUCUAGCGCCCUCUCAUCCGUGACGGGACGGAGAAGUCCACCCUUCACCCGGGCCUCUAGCAUCGCCCGGGUGACGUUGCACGGGGCCACAUGUCUUCCCUGGCCAUGACAGCGAGCGAGAUCAGACGCUUGAGAAAAGCUCGGUGAUGGUGAGGUAUUGGAAGCAGAAGGCUUGGAGGCGGGGGCAUUUGGAGGUAAAGGCAAGUAGAGAAGAAACCGAAAACCCUUGCGGUGGCUUUUAUAGAAAGGGCGUACCACAAUCUGUUUCCCACGCAACGGAUUAGGGAAGGAAAUAGGAACCGUCGGCCGCUUCAUUAACCAAGUGAAGUAACUAAAGCACCCACCCUUUCCGAUUCUCACGCCAACCACACCCACGUGCGCAUUAAAUUUACAGGCAGAACGUCCUAUCCUACUCAGGUACAAUUAGGGGCAGGAUGUGUUGACUCCCAUGGUCUAUGGCUAGUCUCCGAAGGUGCAAAGAAUUUAAUAAUAGGUAUGGAAUUUGAGUUAUCCAUAAAGAUAAAAAUAAAAAGAUAAAAGAAUAAAAGUAUAAAAGUAUAAUACAAGAUAAUAGCAAGACUCAAAGUUAUCUCAGCAAACCGUCUUUCUCCCCGGCAACGGCGCCAGAAAUGCUUGUUGAUAUUUGGUAACGCAAUUAGAAAAUGAUCCGCAAGCGCACGGAUAUCGGUGAGCAUUUCACCCGGGAGGUUAUCCAGAGUUAUCGUAUUUAUAUUUUUACCACUGGGAGAAAGGGUGCAUCUGACUAACCAAAUCUAUUGCUACUAUCCCUUUAGGCACAAAGAAUGUCUUUCGAUGUGAGUGAUAAAUAGAGAAGACUGCAACCGUAGUCUCCUUCUAACCUUGGUAAGGAUGAUCUACUGUUCUAAUGGGGAGGCUAACGGAAUCUAGACACCACAAAGGAUGUUCAACCCACACCUAUAAACGCUAUCCUUCCUGCUAACGAGAUGUGAUCUGCAAAGGUAACUCGGAAUUGUCACGUUCCUCACUACUACCACAGUCCAGCUAGUCAGGGAAUAUCUAUGAGUACCCCAGCCUAAACACCACGUUUAUGCCAGCAAUGAUUACUCUAAACUCUACGCGAAGAGAUUAAAGUAAACUCAUAAACCAUAAGAACAAUAAAACAAGAACUUACUAGAAUUUAGAAGUCGAAAUACUGAAGAAUCCUAGGAGCAAGCUUCGGGUUAGGAGAACUUGAUCCCGCAGGUACAAGCUUGGAGUAGACACCGACAGGCCGGGCUUCCUCCAAUCUACACCUCCACUCUAUCUCUCUCAAUCUAGUAGAAACUAUAAGAUCUAUUUCUACCUUACAUUGGUUGCUAAGCCUAAAAAGAAAUAUUAAUUAGAGAAGAGGUUUUCCUUCGAGGACACCCCUUAAUCUCUAUGAUAAUUUCUUGUCUUCUCUAGGGGCCAGGGGGGUCUCCUUAUAUAGUCCUCCCCUUCUAUGCGUUUUUGGGUCGGUAGGCGAUGUGGUACUAUGUUAUUCUACAUCCAAUAGGUCGGUGGAGAUCUCCCGAGAGAAAGGGUCCUGAUUGGGCUCAGCAGGUGGGUGGGCGCCCAAGGAAACUGGGCGGGCGCCCAAGUCCUGGCCCCGUUUCGCCUCCGCUUCGGUCUCGUGGCUUCUGGAGUCUUCUAGAUGGUAGCAAAUUGCACGGUGCGUUGAUAUCUCUAUGUAAUCCCAACAUGUGGGCCUUUCUUCCGUAUUUCCUGAUAACCCCUGCAGAAAUAGACAAACACCAAAACUCGUGGAAUUUUGUCAGAUAAAACCCUAAGUCUAGAUGUUGAUUUCAUUUGGAUCCUUUUCUUUGUUUAUUUGAUAAUUAAAUUUGAUACUUAAGGACCGUCAACAACCCCCCCUGCUACGCCCGAGCCGAUACCUCCUAACGUAAAAACCCCUAGGCCACGACCGCUUACUUCUAGAGGUUGCGAGACUGACCUACCAAGUAGAUUCAAACAGUCGCCUCAGGAUAGCCAAGCAAGGGAUGACUAAGGAUGAGCUUGAUAGAGGCCACGGACCGAACCCCAUAGAGGCUCGGCGCAUCCUUACCAGUCAUAUCCAACACCCAUGCGGGUGUCGCGUGAGUGGGAUCCCAUCGAGGGUGGCGUCCAGCCCUCGGAACCUAUCGAACGGUUCUGACAUCCACCGUGACUGCCCUCGGGUAUUUCGAGAUGUGCCCAUAGGGACGCGAGCCGACCCCUAUCGAAUGGGUCUCGGACAUCCGCUUGGACGUACCCACUAGUAGCUCCCCGGGAAUGUCGAUACUCGCCCACCGAGGGUAGUACGGCACCACCUAUCCCUCCUCGGAGCGAAAGGAUGAAUGAGGGGAGUAAAAACGAGACGGGAAAGACCCUGGACGACCCUUGUGGGGAAAGGGCUCGGGGGCUUCACCCGCACGGGGGAAUGGGCACUGCGUGUAAAGAACACAUAACCUAUCCUCUAGAUACUCCCUACAACACUACAGAGGAGUAAAAGCCUUCAGAGGAAUAACACCAUUCCUCCCAAGGCUCGGGGCCUACACCCGGUGGGUGCGCUCGUGCGCACCCCCUGGAGGAAAUAAGAGCCUUGGUCUAACAGCCAAACCCUUAAAAAGAGCCUCUAAAGGAGCAUCCUAGCCCCUCCACAGGAUCGGGGGCUACUAUUGGGUACCAUAAAUCGGGAUACCCAAAUUAAAGGAACAAAAAACAGCAAAAAGGAGCAAGACGAACACCCGACCCCUUUAGGCUUGAGCGCAAGCUCCAUCUCGCCUGACCCCCUGGCCUCUGGCGCAAGCUCCGUCUCGCCCGACCCCCUGGCCUCGGACGCAAGUUCCGUCUCGCCCGACCCCUCAGGUCUCGAGCGUAGGUCCCGUCUCACCCGAGCCCUGGGUCUCGGGCGCAAUCUCCACCUUCACCAAAAUCUCAGCAUCAAGGGCAAUUAGUGCCUUGCUCGAGCCUCGGCCUCAAAGCCAGGCUUCCAGCACACAGUGGCCGUACCCUCGACCCGAUGUGCACCAUACCUCCCACGCAGCAGCAGGGCAUGACGGCUACUAUUUCAACAACUCCAGCCACUAUAGAACCUUACCUCUUUCACUGUGGGGCAUUACCUUACAGAAAAAGAAGGCAUGGAGAGGGUUAACCCCUGCCACUGUGACCAUAUCUGGACUGUCAAUUCCCUACUAUUGCAGGACAUGCUGCAGUAUCACCGACCCGACCACCAUGACUACAACAGGGCUCGGCGACCCUCCACAGGAGUGACCACGCCGUCACACCAUACCCCAAGGAUGAAGUGGCCGAUCUCCACAGGACCUGCACUAUCACUACCUCACUCACCAGAGAUAACUCACAACCUUACACAUGUAAAAACCCCUGCCACCCCUUGCGGCUAUAAAAGGGGAGGCAGGGCACCUAUCAACGGCACGGCAACAGACACUCAAACCACAGAUAGUACUCCUCACCUGAGUAGUGAACAUCAUUCUAUCUACUCCUCAAAGUCAAGACAUGGGACUUAGCCCUCUCUUGCAACCAGCUUGUACACCCCUACUACGAGCACUUUCGGGUGCAAGGCAAUACAGACACUGACCCCUCCACAAGACGUAGGGCAUUCGAGGCCCGAACGAGUAUAAACCUCCUAUGUUCCCUUACAUCACCAUUCAGGUUUAGGAGAACACGCAGACUUAUCACUCAUUAGUGUUUGGACGCCGAGUCCAGACACCAACAAAGAGGCUAUGGGGAGGUAUCGUCGGAGCAUGGCUUCCAUAAAGAUAGACCGACUUAUAGAAGCGGCCAAAGAAAGAAGGAAGAAGAAGCAGAGCGGUUGCGUAGGUUGGAGGCAAUGGUGAUGGAGUCAUGCGAAGCGGCUUGUGAAGCGAUAGCGCGAGAGAAAGCGCUUGAAGAGAGAAUGAAUGAGGAGAUCAAAAGAUAAGUGCAGAUGGCAGUAAGUUCUAUACAAAGGCAAAACAUUAGCCCCGCCGGUCAGUUGAAAAGCAGUUGCGCUUCCACGAAGAUGCCAACUAUUCAAGACGACGUGGGGCUGCACUUUCCGGUGGAUGACAUCAUUGAACCUCUGACAACAUGUGAGCUACACAUUCCACAGGGGACAAGCACAGUCAUGGUUGCUGUUGGUGUUGUAACUCUUGUCGACCCUAUGAAGACUCCAAGAAUCCAUGGGGCGAUAGUUCCACCUGGAUAUGCUAGUGUCUUGGUGGAUAGAGUUGUCAAAGGCUUCAGUAAUGUCCAGCUUGAGAUAGAAGGAGGUGAUGGAGAGAAAACUUUCAUUUGUUGGCACAAGUGCUACAUCAUUAUUCCUAGGGCAUCACCUAGUAGUCUACCACCACCUCCUCGUCAUGAACCUAAUCCUAGGUGCGGAUGAAAAUUGACUAUACAUUUGUCCCUAACUUUAUUUUGUAUUCUAUUAGUUAGCGGUUUACUCAUAUACCUUUUUGGUUUCAUAGGUGGUCACCAACAUGUCAUAGUGUUGUGGGUGAUGACGAGGGAGUGCAAGACACGGCUACAUCGCCUCGGUCUCCAACGCCACCACCUCGGGCUCCAACGCCACCACCUCGGGCUCCAACACCGCCACCCCGGGCUCCAACGCCACCACCUAGGGCUCCAACACCACCACCUCGGGCUCCAACACCGCCACCUCGGGCUCCAACACCGCCUCCUCGGGCUCCAACGCCACCACCUCGGGCUCCAACGCCGCCACCGGCCGCCCCAUCGCCUCAACACAUGGCUCCAGCGCGAAAGAAGAAGCCGGUCGCACAAUCAAAUCUGUGGGCCGCCCCGCCACCAAAAAAGAAAGCCUCAGAAAAGAAACAAUCUAUCAUUCCUAAUAAGCUGUCCUAUGAGAAGACUGAUGCAGAACUAGAUGCUUCGGUAAAGUCAGAUGUGGAUAGUUUAUUCGAGAAACUUAAGACUAAAAGAGAAGCCAAGCGAAACCCUGAGAAGCCAUACCUCUUACUACGGCCAGAAGAUCUACGACAAAGGGUUGAGGCUCAACAAAAAAAGAGGCGUUAAGCUCAGAAAGAAUCAUCAUCUUUAUCGAACUAUGAUCGCACUUUAAGGAAAUCCAUAGAAGAAGAGAAGAAGAAAGAGAAAAGAGCACGCAAGGGUGUAGCACAGCUCGGCGAACAAUCAAAGCAAUCAGUGCCCCCACUAGUAAUUGGAAAUGAAUAUGGUUCAAACAUCGACGUGCUAGACCAGCAGAUACCGGUAGAUUUAAAAUUUGAUGAGCUUGAAUUUUUUUUUGUGGAAACUGGUCUUAGCUUAGCCCAAAUGAUAGCUGGGGCACCAAUUGAAAGUGCUCUAGAAAUUGAUCAUUGGCAGAAGGAAUAUACAUAUGGCAAGAGUCUAUACAACCCUGCGGCCCUCAGCAAACUUGGAACGUAAAUGUACAUGCUAAACAAAUGGUACAUGGCAGCGUGUGUUAGAAAAGCAGAUGACUAUCUUUGUGUCCGAAUUAGAAACUAUCAUUACUCCCGUUGUGAUGAUAUUAUUUAUGUUCAAUUUAAUGAGCUACACCAACUAUGUCACAUGGACGCUCUUGACAAAUCUCUAAUGAGUUAUUUUUGUGAGUAAGUGAUUCUUUCUUUCAAUAAUGUCACUGUAACUUAUCAUGUAUAUAUAACUAAUUACAGAAACCCACUAUACAUAUGCAGAAACAUGAUGAGGGACCUCGGAGUUAGAAAUGAUAAGGAGAUUGGAUUUGUGGAUCCAAAUGUUGUAUUCAAAGACCAGAAGACCCCGUAUGUCUUAUGGAGAACUCAAACGAAGAGAAAUCUAUGGAGGUUCUUGAUAAAUCAAAAAGACAAAAGAUAUAUACUCUUUCCCUAUAACUUUAAGUAGGUGUUGUUAUCGUGUGUACAUUCUAAAUAUUAAAUUCUGCUCUUUUAACUCGGUAAUAGAUAAUUAAUAAUGAUCGUUUUAUUGCUAGGGUUUGGUCUAGGUUCGUGCAGAAACACCGUCCAGAGUUGAAUGCAGCACUUUCAAAGCCUAUCUUACUUCAGUGGGUUCUACGACAGACACCGGGCAACAUUUUGUGUGGCUACUAUGUGUGCGAGUUUAUGACGGUCUAUGUCAAAAGAACUAAUCUUAAGCAACUAAAAGUAUGUAACAUGUAUAUAUAAUAAGUUUAAUUCAUUUAUUUGUUGUUAUUUAAUAAAUCCUAUUCAUACCUCUAACUUUUUUCUUUAAUGUCUAUUAAAUGAGAUGUGGUUGAAGGAGCAGGUGUUGGAUGCAGUCCGCCUAAAAGGAAUUCAAGAGACAAUCGCAGGAUUUCUUAACGACCAAGUCCUGAAUCCCGGUGGUGGGUGCUACUUCAACCCUAAGGAGCCCAUGAAACCAAAUCACGAUGAUCAACUUUGUUCGUGAUGCAUGUGUAAAUAUUAUGUUAUGGACCUAAUAGAUAUAUAUAUAUAUAAUAUAUAUAGUGUUUUAUAGUAUAUUUAUAUAUAAUGCUUUAAAUUAUAAAAAUUAAAAGUGCGCGUUUCCAUAAACUAGCAGCAAACAAUAUGCAUUCGAAAAUAAUAAUAACAUAAUUGUAAACCCUAAAUGGAAAACCAAAAGUUAAAAAAAGGAAAAAAGAAAAAACUCUUUAGUCGCGGUUGGUAACACCAACUGGGACGAAAAGUGGUGGCCAGGUGGCACACUGUGGCGUAUCUUUUAGUCCCGGUUUCUUUUACCAACCGGGACAAAAGGUGGACCUUUAGUCUCGGCUCUAGGAAGCGGGACUAAAGGUGGGACAUUUAGUCCCUUAGCCUCGGUUCCAUAGCCGGGACAAAAGGGCCUUACGGUCCGGGGCUAAAGCCCUUUCCUCUACCAUUGCGUGUUCUGUUUUGUGUCAAGCCGUCGACAACGAGGCGCCUAGUGAAUUCGUCAAUCUCGAGAUUUGUCGGUCCAACUCGGUUCUUCGGAGGUGCUCAUAGAGGUAGAGUGUAUGUGCAUACGUUCAUAGAGGUGAGUUUGCAUUCGUGUAUGUGAGCAUCUGCAUGACUGCAUCCAUAAUUGGGUCUCACAAAAAAAUACUUCUAUAACUGGCCAUGGCUACCGAGAUUUGGGAUGCGGAUUUCUUUUAUCUUUUUGUAUUUUUGGUGGUGGCGAGGAGAUAGAACAUGCACAUGCACCAUGGCAGAUGGUCAUGGGAGGGAGCAAUGCGUCUGUGCCAGUUUUACUUCAUAUAGAAUUUGAAGCAGACAAUACAUAGUGUUAUUGUGUUAUUGUGUUAGGUAAAUUUACAUAGUAAUCCUUAUUCUUUUAAUUAUAAAUUUAGUGAACAGAUUAUACAAUCAUAGUUACACAAGCAAAUGAUUUUCUUAUUUUGAAUAUAAUCCUCAUGCAUAAAGGAUUUUCUUUCCCAUUGCAACCAUGUUUGCUAGUAUAAUGUAAUCAAUCAAAAUAAAUGUAUUCCCAAACUAUUCACAUAUGGAUAUGAACUCUAUCAAUACAUGCAUAAUAUGGAAGAGCAUCUCCAAGGGUUUUGCAUUUGAGGUUUGCAUUUGAGUAAUUUGUCAAAAAACUCCAAAAGAGGUAUCCAAAGUUUGCAAUUUGGGCAACUUGGCAAAUGAGGGAGCAAACUUGACAAAAAUGCCACUGCUAGCUUCCUUUCCACAGUCGACACCACUGGAAGUUGCAGCAGCGCUCAACACGGCAACGACAUUUGCUUUCUAAGUCGUCGUCGAUCGCCGGCGUCUGGUCAACCCGCGACCAAACUAAGGUCUGUUUAGUUUGUGAAAAUUUGUAGUUUUGGUUAUUGUAGCACUUUCCUUUGUAUUUAAUUAUUAUUAUCUAAUUACGGACUUUCGUAAAUUACUGUGCAAUUAGUUUUUAUUUUUGUCUAUAUUUAAUACUUUAUGUAUACGUCUAAGGGCACCCCCAAUGCAAGACUCUAUUACAGAGUCCAAGAUAAUUAAUUACAUAUUAUUUAUGGUAUUUUGCUGAUGUGGCAGCAUAUUUAUUUCAGAUUGUAACNNNNNNNNNNNNNNNNNNNNNNNNNNNNNNNNNNNNNNNNNNNNNNNNNNNNNNNNNNNNNNNNNNNNNNNNNNNNNNNNNNNNNNNNNNNNNNNNNNNNAUGUGGACUGAGAGUCUAAAUAAGACUUGGAGUCUUAUUUUUUCUCUACCUCUUUCUUCAAUAAAUAUGCUGCCACAUCAGCAAAAUACCAUAAAUAAUAUGUAAUUAAUUAUCUUGGACUCUGUAAUAGAGUCUUGCAUUGGGGGUGCCCUUAGACGUAUACAUAAAGUAUUAAAUAUAGACAAAAAUAAAAACUAAUUGCACAGUAAUUUACGAAAGUCCGUAAUUAGAUAAUAAUAAUUAAAUACAAAGGAAAGUGCUACAAUAACCAAAACUACAAAUUUUCACAAACUAAACAGACCUUAGUUUGGUCGCGGGUUGACCAGACGCCGGCGAUCGACGACGACUUAGAAAGCAAAUGUCGUUGCCGUGUUGAGCGCUGCUGCAACUUCCAGUGGUGUCGACUGUGGAAAGGAAGCUAGCCUUUGGAGAUGCUCUAAAGUUCUGGUAUGUUUUACAACUAAAUAUAUUGUGUCUUAUAAAGGAAGAAAGCUCUAUCUAUCUAUCCAGAACAAAAACCCUAUCAAGGAUGUGUUUUAAUUUGACAUAGAAUUAUUAGGAUGAUAUUAUAUUGUUGCCAAUGUUAAUUUAUAAUAUGAACGCCAUGAUCAACAUAAAUAAAUUAUAACUUUUCAAUUUUAUUAAAAAAUAAAAAAUAAAAUAUACAUGUAACAUUAUUGUUUUCAUUUAACAUUAACGUGCCAAUUCAUUUGUGGUCAUUGUGCAGCUGAAGCUCUAACAACCACUAAUAACUAUAAAAAUUAAGUCCCUCGGUUGUGCACUAAACUGAAACGAACAAAUCUCUACAACUAAAAAUUACAAAGAUGACCUAUCUACCAUACCUAUGAUGACACGCUAUUCCAUUAACGCAGGCCCCACUCACCCACACAUGCAAAAAACUUUUUUAAGAAAUUAGAAAAAAAUCAUAACUCCUAAACCGGAGAUCUAAAUUAAAUUCUGAUUGCACCAUUAAAUUUCUUAUAAUAAUCCUUCAAAACAAGAUCACACAUAGGAUAUAUUUAGAUAAAAUUUUAUCAAUGAAUAUUUAUCUUAUAAAGAUCUCUACAAGUAAAAAUUCCGAAGAGGACCCGUCUACCAUACCUGUGGUGAAGCCGCGACUCCCGUCCGCACGUAUGGAUGACAUACUAUCCCAUCAACGCAUGAAAAAACAUUUUUAAGAAAUUAAAAAAAUCAUAACUCCUAAACCGGAUAUUUAUAUUAAAUUUCCGAUUGCACCAUUAAAUUUUUUAUAAUAAAUCCUUUGAAACUACAUCACACAUGGAUAUACUUAGAUAAAAUUAUAUUAAUAAAUAUUUAUUUUAUAAAGAUAAAAUAUUUUCUUUUAGUAAGCAGAGACAAUGUUUCAGGUUUAACAGACAAUGUUCUAUGUUCUGUCUUUGUAAGAAAAUUGUUAUCGAUUUAAAAAAAUAGUAUAUUUGUUUUAGGUUUAUAAAACUGAUAUUACAAUAUAACAUAAAAAUAAAUAACUAUAUAACAUAGAUAAAAUACAAAAAAAUAUAGAGCAAAAAACUUAAGGAAACAAAUAAAACACAUAUCUCUUCUCUAUAAACUAAAAAUUACGAAGAGGACCUGUCUAACGCACUCAUGGUGAAGCCGCGACCCAUCCUCGUCGGUGGUCUUUUUUACUCCACACAUCCUAAUCUCAGCACC
This 22021-nucleotide long non-coding RNA is filed under the name Sorghum bicolor (sorghum). RNAcentral's name for it is "long non-coding RNA (SBIC_LNC010340)". The record is from RNAcentral. Lineage: Eukaryota; Viridiplantae; Streptophyta; Magnoliopsida; Poales; Poaceae.